This 253-nucleotide ribosomal RNA is filed under the name uncultured bacterium. RNAcentral's name for it is "partial 16S ribosomal RNA". It matches the Rfam family "Bacterial small subunit ribosomal RNA", at positions 524 to 776 of the family's 1533-position model. The record is from RNAcentral.
UACGAAGGGGGCUAGCGUUGCUCGGAAUCACUGGGCGUAAAGGGUGCGUAGGCGGGUCUUUAAGUCAGGGGGGAAAUCCUGGAGCUCAACUCCAGAACUGCCUUUGAUACUGAGGAUCUUGAGUUCGGGAGAGGUGGGUGGAACUGCGAGUGUAGAGGUGAAAUUCGUAGAUAUUCGCAAGAACACCAGUGGCGAAGGCGGCUCACUGGCCCGAUACUGACGCUGAGGCACGAAAGCGUGGGGAGCAAACAGG